This 111-nucleotide ribosomal RNA is filed under the name Cladosporium sphaerospermum. Its description in RNAcentral is "partial 18S ribosomal RNA". It matches the Rfam family "Eukaryotic small subunit ribosomal RNA", at positions 1722 to 1830 of the family's 1831-position model. Lineage: Eukaryota; Fungi; Ascomycota; Dothideomycetes; Cladosporiales; Cladosporiaceae. The record is from RNAcentral. RNAcentral also lists the same sequence under 1 other name.
AGGGAGGUCGGCAACGACCACCCAGGGCCGGAAAGUUGGUCAAACCCGGUCAUUUAGAGGAAGUAAAAGUCGUAACAAGGUCUCCGUAGGUGAACCUGCGGAGGGAUCAUU